RNAcentral lists this ribosomal RNA (579 nucleotides) under Staphylococcus aureus. Its description in RNAcentral is "bacterial SSU rRNA". It matches the Rfam family "Bacterial small subunit ribosomal RNA", at positions 257 to 828 of the family's 1533-position model. Lineage: Bacteria; Bacillati; Bacillota; Bacilli; Caryophanales; Staphylococcaceae. The record is from RNAcentral.
GUAACGGCUUACCAAGGCAACGAUGCAUAGCCGACCUGAGAGGGUGAUCGGCCACACUGGAACUGAGACACGGUCCAGACUCCUACGGGAGGCAGCAGUAGGGAAUCUUCCGCAAUGGGCGAAAGCCUGACGGAGCAACGCCGCGUGAGUGAUGAAGGUCUUCGGAUCGUAAAACUCUGUUAUUAGGGAAGAACAUAUGUGUAAGUAACUGUGCACAUCUUGACGGUACCUAAUCAGAAAGCCACGGCUAACUACGUGCCAGCAGCCGCGGUAAUACGUAGGUGGCAAGCGUUAUCCGGAAUUAUUGGGCGUAAAGCGCGCGUAGGCGGUUUUUUAAGUCUGAUGUGAAAGCCCACGGCUCAACCGUGGAGGGUCAUUGGAAACUGGAAAACUUGAGUGCAGAAGAGGAAAGUGGAAUUCCAUGUGUAGCGGUGAAAUGCGCAGAGAUAUGGAGGAACACCAGUGGCGAAGGCGACUUUCUGGUCUGUAACUGACGCUGAUGUGCGAAAGCGUGGGGAUCAAACAGGAUUAGAUACCCUGGUAGUCCACGCCGUAAACGAUGAGUGCUAAGUGUUAGGG